UCGGGUUGUAAAGCACUUUUGUCCGGAAAGAAAACCUCUGCCCUAAUAUGGCGGGGGGAUGACGGUACCGGAAGAAUAAGCACCGGCUAACUACGUGCCAGCAGCGCGGUAAUCGUAGGGUGCGAGCGUUAAUCGGAAUUACUGGGCGUAAAGCGUGCGCAGGCGGUUCGCUAAGACCGAUGUGAAAUCCCCGGGCUUAACCUGGGAACUGCAUUGGUGACUGGCGGGCUAGAGUAUGGCAGAGGGGGGUAGAAUUCCACGUGUAGCAGUGAAAUGCGUAGAGAUGUGGAGGAAUACCGAUGGCGAAGGCAGCCCCCUGGGCCAAUACUGACGCUCAUGCACGAAAGCGUGGGGAGCAAACAGGAUUAGAUACCCUGGUAGUCCACGCCCUAAACGAUGUCAACUAGUUGUUGGGGAUUCAUUUCCUUAGUAACGUAGCUAACGCGUGAAGUUGACCGCCUGGGGAGUACGGUCGCAAGAUUAAAACUCAAAGGAAUUGACGGGGACCCGCACAAGCGGUGGAUGAAUGUGGAUUAAUUCGAUGCAACGCGAAAAACCUUACCUACCCUUGACAUGGUCGGAACCCUGCUG
Molecule: ribosomal RNA, 591 nt
Filed under: uncultured Burkholderia sp.
Lineage: Bacteria; Pseudomonadati; Pseudomonadota; Betaproteobacteria; Burkholderiales; Burkholderiaceae
Description: bacterial SSU rRNA
Rfam family: Bacterial small subunit ribosomal RNA
Source: RNAcentral